Molecule: ribosomal RNA, 60 nt
Filed under: uncultured bacterium
Lineage: Bacteria
Description: partial 16S ribosomal RNA
Source: RNAcentral
UGGACUUGACAUAUAGCUGCAUAUGACUCGAAAGAGACAUAGCCUUCGAGGGUGCUAUAC